Molecule: long non-coding RNA, 433 nt
Organism: Microcebus murinus (gray mouse lemur)
Lineage: Eukaryota; Metazoa; Chordata; Mammalia; Primates; Cheirogaleidae
Source: RefSeq, a predicted model, not a curated record
GCGAGUCUCCGUGCAGAUCCCUCGGGUCCGCCCGGAGUUCGCUCAGCUGCCCGAGCGGCGGAUCGCACCUUUCUCCGAGUUCGGGAGGCCUUCGGCCCGCCCUCCUCCUCUCCUUCCCACGGUAGUGACAGGAAUGGCGGGUCUUUACCUACAGGACCGCAGGGCCUCGACACGCCGCCCUUUUUCUCAGAAACUGUGGGAGAUCACCAGUUACUCGGCGCUAGAAGUUAGCUGCUGGUGGAGUCGGUACCGCCGCCGCUCAGCAGAUCAAUCGGAGCAGAUGCUGGGCACGGACGGGCACUGGCGCAGCUGAGUGGAGACAGUUACAGUGGCACGAGAGCCGCAGCGGGAGUGGAGGCAGAAGGGCUGCAGGCGUGGGCUGGCCGUGGACAGGGAGAUGAGGUCUUGCUAUGCUGCUCAGACGGAACUUUAU